This 95-nucleotide transfer RNA is filed under the name Candidatus Falkowiibacteriota bacterium. RNAcentral describes it as "tRNA-Ile". It matches the Rfam family "tRNA". Rfam says of the family: Transfer RNA (tRNA) molecules are approximately 80 nucleotides in length. Their secondary structure includes four short double-helical elements and three loops (D, anti-codon, and T loops). Further hydrogen bonds mediate the characteristic L-shaped molecular structure. tRNAs have two regions of fundamental functional importance: the anti-codon, which is responsible for specific mRNA codon recognition, and the 3' end, to which the tRNAs corresponding amino acid is attached (by aminoacyl-tRNA synthetases). tRNAs cope with the degeneracy of the genetic code in two manners: having more than one tRNA (with a specific anti-codon) for a particular amino acid; and 'wobble' base-pairing, i.e. permitting non-standard base-pairing at the 3rd anti-codon position. The record is from RNAcentral. Lineage: Bacteria; Candidatus Falkowiibacteriota.
GGGCAAUUAGCUCAGUUGGUUAGAGCGCAACACUGAUAAUGUUGAGGUCNNCCAGGCCCAUAACCUGGAGGUCGUCGGUUCGAGUCCGACCCCCG